Molecule: ribosomal RNA, 497 nt
Filed under: uncultured bacterium
Lineage: Bacteria
Description: partial 16S ribosomal RNA
Rfam family: Bacterial small subunit ribosomal RNA
Source: RNAcentral
GAUGAACGCUGGCGGCGUGCCUAAUACAUGCAAGUCGAGCGAACAGAUGAGGAGCUUGCUCCUCUGACGUUAGCGGCGGACGGGUGAGUAACACGUGGAUAACCUACCUAUAAGACUGGGAUAACUUCGGGAAACCGGAGCUAAUACCGGAUAAUAUAUUUAACCGCAUGGUUCAAUAGUGAAAGACGGUUUUGCUGUCACUUAUAGAUGGAUCCGCGCCGCAUUAGCUAGUUGGUAAGGUAACGGCGUACCAAGGCAACGAUGCGUAGCCGACCUGAGAGGGUGAUCGGCCACACUGGAACUGAGACACGGUCCAGACUCCUACGGGAGGCAGCAGUAGGGAAUCUUCCGCAAUGGGCGAAAGCCUGACGGAGCAACGCCGCGUGAGUGAUGAAGGUCUUCGGAUCGUAAAACUCUGUUAUUAGGGAAGAACAAAUGUGUAAGUAACUAUGCACGUCUUGACGGUACCUAAUCAGAAAGCCACGGCUAACUACGUG